UGAGUCCCACCUCAUGGGAACCUGAGUCAUUGUGAAGCAAAGUGAAUUACCCCGGGCCAUGCUCUCAGGACAGCUCCCAGGAUGAUGAAGACAGGAUGGAGACAUCCCGAGCCCCAAAGGGUGCUGCAGACUCACCUUGUGCACUCCCCUGCCCUCCUCCUGACCCUUGUCUGACCCGUGGGCAUGCAGUCACUGCUGCAAAAUGCCUCCACGUGGCCAGAGCUCCUGGCCUGCGCAAGCCCAGAGCCAUCCUGUGCAUCCAAAUUUGAGCAUGAUUCCCAUUCCAGCCCUGCUGGUAUCCCAAAAAUAAGCAGAAAGGAGUCUAUGGUGAGGGCCUGCAGUCAGGGGUAGGCUGCAUCUCCUGAAAGAAAGUGGCAAAGGGCUCACCAUCACCCAGCUCUUAUACAGUAGCCAGAGCUUUCACUAAGGCAGGAGGAGCCCCGGGCUCAGAUCUCACCUGGAGAGGGUUUAAUGCCACAAUCUCAUCCUCCUAGGAUAGCACUGUUAUCAGCUACUGUUAUCAGUUAAAUGCUCCCUUCUGUCUCUGCUACUGGUACGUGCCACGGAGCAGCAGGAAAAAAAAAAUAAAUCUGGAAGAUGAAAAAGAACAAAACUCUCUGCGGAGCAGUGUGACCUCCCUGCGAGGUGAACUGAGUGUGAACCCAGGUCUUUGCUUUCCGGUUUCUCCAGGAGGAAUUACGCCUGACUUCUGCUUCUGGAAAGGGGAAGAAAUCCAGCUCAGGAAAAAAUGGAGGAAACACAAACUGCUGCAGGGUCUUGCAGAGGGUUUGCAAGUGGUCGCCCAGCCCCGUCUGCCUCUCACCCUGAGUGGUAUCUCACAGUUCAGCUAUGAAGCAAAAACCCUCAGGCUUUCAGGGCCUUGUGCCUGGCAGAAAGAGACACAUCUGGGCUUUUGGCACAUUACAGGUGAGGUGUCUUGGGUUGCCAUCAAGCUCUGAGCCUGUUCAGACCCCUCAGAUCCAGUGAGUUCAGCAGAUAACGCUCCUGCUUAGGGUGGUCUUAUGGCAGCCAAUGCUGGUCUUCAACUUUUCUCUAUUUUAAUUCUUCUUCCUGGAAAAUACAUGUGUGUAUGCACCAUGUUUUCCUCUUAAACAAGGGGUCGGGCAUGGAUAGU
This 1135-nucleotide long non-coding RNA is filed under the name Anas platyrhynchos platyrhynchos (common mallard). Its description in RNAcentral is "lncRNA (ENSAPLG00000020974.1)". Lineage: Eukaryota; Metazoa; Chordata; Aves; Anseriformes; Anatidae. The record is from RNAcentral.